GCAGUUAGCUCAGUUGGUUAGAGCGUGGUAUGUUUGAACACAGAGGUUUAUAAUUGCAAAUAAAUCUGACUUAAAUAGGUGCUAAUAAGACGUCCGAGUCACGUGAACGCCAAGGUCGCGGGGUCGAUUGCCGUACUGACCA
This is a non-coding RNA of Oidiodendron maius Zn, 142 nucleotides long. The record is from the annotation of a GenBank genome assembly. NCBI's taxonomy places the organism in Eukaryota, Fungi, Ascomycota, Leotiomycetes, Myxotrichaceae.